This 327-nucleotide ribosomal RNA is filed under the name uncultured eukaryote. RNAcentral's name for it is "partial 18S ribosomal RNA". It matches the Rfam family "Eukaryotic small subunit ribosomal RNA", at positions 1470 to 1796 of the family's 1831-position model. The record is from RNAcentral.
CCCUUAGAUGUUCUGGGCCGCACGCGCGCUACACUGACGAAUGCAACGAGCUUAUAACCUUGGCCGAAAGGUCUGGGUAAUCUCCAAAUUUCGUCGUGAUGGGGAUAGAUUAUUGCAAUUAUUAAUCUUCAACGAGGAAUGCCUAGUAAGCGCAAGUCAUCAGCUUGCGUUGAUUACGUCCCUGCCCUUUGUACACACCGCCCGUCGCUCCUACCGAUUGAAUGGUCCGGUGAAGCGUUCGGACCGUGGCCUUUGGACGGUUCGCCGUCUGUUGGCUGCGGGAAGUUCGUUAAACCUUAUCAUUUAGAGGAAGGAGAANUCGUAGCA